UUCAAGACUUAAAAAAUAUUUUAAUAUCCAAAAUAAUCAAAUUGUUAAACUACAUCCUGCAGACCGGCAGCAUAAUUUUGUAAAUAAAGUUUUAGUGGAACCAGGGUGUUGAGGUCAGUAAGCUCAAGGCACAAGUGCGGGGUUCUAGCCUCUUCAAAAUUUUAUUUAGGCCGGGCACGGUGGCUCACGCUUGUAAUCCCAGCACUUUCGGAGGCCGCGGGGCGCGGAUCACCCGAGGUCAGGAGUUGGAGACCAGCCACGACUAACAUGGUGUCUCCAAUAAAAAUACAAAAAUUAGCCAGGAUGGUCUCAAUCUCCUGAUCUUGUGAUCCACCUGCCUCGGCCUCCCAAAGUGCUGGGAUUACAGGUGUGAGCCACUGCGCCCGGCCUGUUAUCCACAUUUUAUAAAUGAGGAAACCAAGGCACAGAGAGGUGAAGUGACUUGCCCAAGAUCAUACAGUGG
Molecule: long non-coding RNA, 463 nt
Filed under: Homo sapiens (human)
Lineage: Eukaryota; Metazoa; Chordata; Mammalia; Primates; Hominidae
Description: novel transcript, antisense to MRI1
Source: RNAcentral